GUGCCAGCAGCCGCGGUAAUACGAAGGGGGCUAGCGUUGUCCGUAUUUAUUGGGCGUAAAGAGCGUGUAGGCGGCCUUACAGGUCAGCUGUGAAAACUCGAGGCUCAACCUCGAGACGUCGGUUGAAACCGUAAGGCUAGAGUCCGGAAGAGGAGAGUGGAAUUCCCGGUGUAGCGGUGAAAUGCGCAGAUAUCAGGAAGAACACCAAUGGCGAAGGCAGCUCUCUGGGACGGUACUGACGCUGAGACGCGAAAGCGUGGGGAGCGAACAGGAUUAGAUACCCUGGUAGUCC
RNAcentral lists this ribosomal RNA (292 nucleotides) under uncultured bacterium. Its description in RNAcentral is "partial 16S ribosomal RNA". It matches the Rfam family "Bacterial small subunit ribosomal RNA", at positions 505 to 796 of the family's 1533-position model. The record is from RNAcentral.